GCGGCAGUAGCUCAGUGGUAGAGCCUCGCCUCGCAUGUGAGGAGACCUGGGUUCGAUUCUCGGCUGCUUCC
Molecule: transfer RNA, 71 nt
Filed under: Toxocara canis (dog roundworm)
Lineage: Eukaryota; Metazoa; Nematoda; Chromadorea; Rhabditida; Toxocaridae
Rfam family: tRNA
About the family: Transfer RNA (tRNA) molecules are approximately 80 nucleotides in length. Their secondary structure includes four short double-helical elements and three loops (D, anti-codon, and T loops).
Source: Rfam by way of RNAcentral